This is a long non-coding RNA of Salvia miltiorrhiza (redroot sage), 349 nucleotides long. RefSeq lists it as uncharacterized. NCBI's taxonomy places the organism in Eukaryota, Viridiplantae, Streptophyta, Magnoliopsida, Lamiales, Lamiaceae. The transcript is spliced from 4 exons. The record is from RefSeq and is a predicted model, not a curated record.
CCACCCCAUUUUUCUUUUAUAACCUACACCAUUCUUCACCCAAACCUCACCACUUCACCAUUUCUAAAUUCUGCAGUCUCAAUUUCACACAGCAAGUUAAGAAAUAAAUAUCUUCCACCACACCUAUUCAAGGUCCAGACGGGAAGUGAAAGCUAAAGAAGGAGGUAACUCUACGCCCCUAGUGGGAACGGAAUGAGGUUGAGCGGGUGAUGGAAUGGAGUGGAGUUGAGCGGAUGUACCUUUUGACAUAAAAUAAUAAUGUAACCUUGAGUAUACAUCUUCAUAUGUAUAACUCACACGUAUUUCCGCUGCAAGAUACUCUGAUUAUGUUAAUGUUUUAUUUUAAGUA